GAAAUUGCAUUGUGAUAGACAAUGAGAAGGGAGUGGGGAGAGAAAAGAGAAUGAGAAACAUGCAAAGGGAAAACAGAUGUCUCAAAGUCACAUGCAACGGCCAAUAAUUUCCAGUGUUCUGAUAAACAUGGGGCAGUGUCGGGAGAAACAGAUUUUGUACGUGAACAGUAAACGUAAACAAUGAGUAACAAAUGGUUCCAAGUCCUUGCUGAAUUGUUUCCACACCUGCUUGGGUCUUAUUGCCAAAUCUUGGAUUCUUCACAUAACCUUGCCAGUGAGACGCUGGCUCUUCUGAAAAGAGAGGAGACAAAGCCUCCCUCCAUCACAUACCUAGGUCCCAACUGAAGCGAUGCUCAUUAAGGCCAGGGUCCCUGGGAAAAUGGUAAACUCUAUGAUCGACUGCCUCAUUUCCACAACUUCUCUCUCCAGAUAAUCAGAGCUCCGACUAGCCAGGUUCUGAAUGGAGCCUUCCUUACUCUUGCCUUUUCUCCAGCUCUGACUGUGCUGGACAGGGUCCUGUGCUCAGCCUUGGUAUUUAAACCCUUGGAAGCUCGACUUUCCUCAGAAUCCUAGAAUACAGAACUGCAAAGAAUCUUAUUUAUUGUUUAUUUCAACUCUUUCAUUUUCAGGGAAGCCCACUGAGACCCAGAAAGCUCAAAUAACUUGUCUGUGGUCCCUGGAAGAUCAGAAUCAGAACUCAAGCCCAGGCCAGUCUUUCCCUUUUCAUAAUACCUUUACAGACAGGUAGAACCUCAUUUUACAGGAUGUUCUAAGACUCUUUGCAUGAGUUGAAAAUUGCUUAUAAUAGUGAACGCCUUUAUUUAAUAAGUAUUUCUUAUAGCAACACACAUAGCUACUUUACAACUUGUCUUAGGCUUAUUAGAGCUACCCACAGCAAUACUCUUGUACCUGGGCCAUUACUAAUAACUAAGUGGCAUUAAUGAAACAAAGGUGAAGCACUGCUCUACUGGGAACAUGACUUGUUACAAGCAAAGAUUCUGGACAAAGAAUGAUGAGGAGCUAAUGUCUGGUGCAGAACAAUUUCACAGUCAAUCCUUUAUUACAACUCUUGAGCUGUGGCUGAUCAAAGACUAUGAUACCAGAGCAUCUGUGUCUGCAUCUAAGUCAACCCUCCUGUGGGAUCUGUGCUAUGCUCCUUUGCUUGAUCAAGGGAAUAUCCAACUCCAGAUUGCCCAAACCACUGGAAUUAGACCUAAGGAGACUUCUGAUUUCUAGGAGAGAAGCCCUUGUAGAGACUUGAGUUUGGUGGAUUCAGAUGUCAUUGAAGAACAAAAACUAAGCUAUUGAGAAAACUUGGAAAGAAGUCUUUAGUGGAGUAAUGAAGGAAUCUGCCUUGAUCCUAAUCUGUUCAACAUUUUAUCAGUAACUGGGAUGAAAGCUUAGAUGGCAUGCUUGUAAACUUUUCAGAUGCAAAGUCAAAGGAAUUGCUAAAAUGUCAGAUGACAGUGUUCAUAUUCCCAAAGAUCUUGACAACCUAGAAUGAAGGGCUAAAUCAACCAACAUAAUCUUAUGAAAUUAAUAGGUAUAAAUGUCAAGUCUUCUGCUUGGAUUCAAAGAAUCAACUACACAAAAACAGAAUGAAGGGAAAAUGGACAAAUUUCAACUUCUGGGGUGGGGCCCUAAGGUUUUAGUUGAUUAUAAGUUAAGCAUGAGGCAAGAAUAUUCUAUGGCAGCCAAAAAAAUCUAGUAUAGUUUACAAAUGUUUGCUGGAUGAAUGACUGGACACAAAGAGCACUCUCUGAGGAUUAAUAUUAAUUUGGAAUAUUGUUAAUAAUGGACUUCCAAGGGAUCAAUGCUUGCCCCUAUGCUGUUUAACAUUUUUAUUAAUAAUUUGGAUAAAGGAAUGGGUGCAAAGGGAAGAAGUUGUAAAGAAGGAAAUUUAAGCUUUAUAGAAAGAAACUAUCAUUUGUGAAAUCUUAACAGAGAAUGAUGAAAGAUGAUAGCAACAUUUUCUCAUAAAACGGAGAUAGACAUAUAGGAGAAGAAAAACAGUUUAAAGAAACCUUGGUGAGAUAGAAAUCCAUUACAUAAGAAAAUCAUCCCAAGGGCAUUUAGGCAUGAAAAUGGAAGAAGGACAAUAACAGAAUAAAAGUGGAAAAGAUCUAAAGAGAUUUUAUAAU
This 2141-nucleotide long non-coding RNA is filed under the name Monodelphis domestica (gray short-tailed opossum). RNAcentral's name for it is "lncRNA (ENSMODG00000047311.1)". Lineage: Eukaryota; Metazoa; Chordata; Mammalia; Didelphimorphia; Didelphidae. The record is from RNAcentral.